This 528-nucleotide ribosomal RNA is filed under the name Vibrio parahaemolyticus. RNAcentral's name for it is "partial 23S ribosomal RNA". It matches the Rfam family "Bacterial large subunit ribosomal RNA", at positions 1274 to 1787 of the family's 2925-position model. Lineage: Bacteria; Pseudomonadati; Pseudomonadota; Gammaproteobacteria; Vibrionales; Vibrionaceae. The record is from RNAcentral.
UGGACGUAUCAGAAGUGCGAAUGCUGACAUGAGUAACGAUAAAGGGGGUGAAAAACCUCCUCGCCGGAAGACCAAGGGUUCCUGUCCAACGUUAAUCGGGGCAGGGUAAGUCGACCCCUAAGGCGAGGCCGAAAGGCGUAGUCGAUGGGAAACGGGUUAAUAUUCCCGUACUUCUUACAAUUGCGAUGGGGGGACGGAGAAGGCUAGGUGGGCCUGGCGACGGUUGUCCAGGUUCAAGUGCGUAGGCUUGAGAGUUAGGUAAAUCCGGCUCUUUUUAAGGCUGAGACACGACGUCGAGCACCUACGGGUGUGAAGUCAUUGAUGCCAUGCUUCCAGGAAAAGCCUCUAAGCUUCAGAUUGUAAGGAAUCGUACCCCAAACCGACACAGGUGGUCGGGUAGAGAAUACCAAGGCGCUUGAGAGAACUCGGGUGAAGGAACUAGGCAAAAUGGUACCGUAACUUCGGGAGAAGGUACGCUCUCGACGGUGAAGUCCCUCGCGGAUGGAGCUAUUGAGAGUCGCAGAUACC